This 467-nucleotide ribosomal RNA is filed under the name uncultured bacterium. Its description in RNAcentral is "partial 16S ribosomal RNA". It matches the Rfam family "Bacterial small subunit ribosomal RNA", at positions 28 to 507 of the family's 1533-position model. The record is from RNAcentral.
GACGAACGCUGGCGGCGUGCUUAACACAUGCAAGUCGAACGAUGACGACCGAGCUUGCUCGGUCUGAUUAGUGGCGAACGGGUGAGUAACACGUGAGCAACCUGCCCUUCACUCUGGGAUAACCUCGGGAAAUCGGGGCUAAUACCGGAUAUGAGCUCCUGUCGCAUAGCGGGUGUUGGAAAGUUUUUCGGUGAAGGAUGGGCUCGCGGCCUAUCAGUUUGUUGGUGAGGUAGUGGCUCACCAAGGCGAUGACGGGUAGCCGGCCUGAGAGGGCGACCGGCCACACUGGGACUGAGACACGGCCCAGACUCCUACGGGAGGCAGCAGUGGGGAAUAUUGCACAAUGGGCGAAAGCCUGAUGCAGCGACGCCGCGUGAGGGAUGACGGCCUUCGGGUUGUAAACCUCUUUCAGCAGGGAAGAAGCGAAAGUGACGGUACCUGCAGAAGAAGCGCCGGCUAACUACGUG